GGGUGCAUAAUCAUUAGUCUUUUAAUUGAGGACUGGAAUGAAAGGGUAAACUGGAAAAGAUUUUUUAAGAGUAAAAGAGAUGAAGUUGACUUUUUGGUAAGAAGGCUAAAAUAUUUCUUAAAGACGAGAAGACCCUAUAAAACUUUAUAUUAACUUUUCUUUAGCUAAGGAAAUAAGUAUUUUACUGGGGCGGUGGAAAAAAUAAAACUUUUUCUAAUUUUAAAGAGUUUAAAUCUUAAUAUCUAAAAAUUUUAAAAGAAGAAUAAGUUACUUUAGGGAUAACAGCUUAAUUUAUUUAGAAAGUUCUAAUUGACAAAUAAGUUUGUGACCUCGAUGUUGAAUUAAAAGUCCUUUUUAGUGCAAAAGCUUAAAAGGAGUCGUCGCCU
RNAcentral lists this ribosomal RNA (386 nucleotides) under Mesobuthus gorelovi. Its description in RNAcentral is "partial 16S ribosomal RNA". It matches the Rfam family "Archaeal large subunit ribosomal RNA", at positions 2032 to 2651 of the family's 2987-position model. The record is from RNAcentral. Lineage: Eukaryota; Metazoa; Arthropoda; Arachnida; Scorpiones; Buthidae.